Molecule: unclassified non-coding RNA, 352 nt
Filed under: soil metagenome
Description: partial contains 5.8S ribosomal RNA, internal transcribed spacer 2, and large subunit ribosomal RNA
Rfam family: 5.8S ribosomal RNA (bases 1-120)
Source: RNAcentral
GAUGAAGAACGUAGCGAAAUGCGAUAAGUAGUGUGAAUUGCAGAAUUCAGUGAAUCAUCGAAUCUUUGAACGCACAUUGCGCCCGCCAGUAUUCUGGCGGGCAUGCCUGUUCGAGCGUCAUUUCAACCCUCAGGCCCCCAGUGCCUGGUGUUGGGGAUCGGCCCAGCCUUCUCGCAAGGCCGCCGGCCCCGAAAUCUAGUGGCGGUCUCGCUGUAGUCCUCCUCUGCGUAGUAGCACAACCUCGCAGUUGGAACGCGGCGGUGGCCAUGCCGUUAAACACCCCACUUCUGAAAGUUGACCUCGGAUCAGGUAGGAAUACCCGCUGAACUUAAGCAUAUCAAUAAGCGGAGGA